This is a long non-coding RNA of Cyprinus carpio carpio, 1303 nucleotides long. The record is from Ensembl. NCBI's taxonomy places the organism in Eukaryota, Metazoa, Chordata, Actinopteri, Cypriniformes, Cyprinidae.
UGCAUGUAUAAAGACAUUUUCAAUGGAUCGCCGAUUUCACGAGUCACCAUGGAAACUCAAAGCGAAAAAAAGAGAGCGGCGUAUUUCACAGAGGCGGAGUUGGAAGUUUUAAUGCAUGCUUAUGAGGAGUUUAAGCCAAUAAUAUUAAAAAGAAGCAAUACAGCUGCAUCGGCUAAAGCAAGAGAGUUGGCUUGGCAAAAAAUAACGGACAGAGUAAAUGCGUGAGUGUAUUAAAUUACAAAUUUGGUAUUGCCUCCCGUUUUAUUGAAAUGCAAAAUAAUGAAGUAUGACUUAUACAUCCUUUUGAAUAUAUUAAAUCACUAUGAAAGCAUUUACUUUUCCUGCCAUUUAUUUCUUUAGCUUGAAAUAAUAAUGUAUAUUUCUUAUUUAAUAAGGUGUAAUCCUUCUGGAGCCACAAGAACUUUAAGCCAAGUCAAAAUGAAACACAAAAACAUUCUGCAAAAAGCUAACAGAAAGAAGACUGAAGCCCGUCUAACUGGCGGGGGGCCACCACCACCUCCCCUCACCCCAUCUGAGGAGCUGGCUCUGUCCCUUAAUAAAGGGCGACCAGUGGUUGCUGGCAUUCCAGGGGGCAGUUCAUCACAUACUAUGCACCACAAGUGAUGGUGAAAAAAGGGUGAAAUGUAAGUUUACCUCUAUGAUUUGUUUUCAUUUUUUGUCCUGAUAAAUUACUAUCUCUGUCACUUAAAGGCUUUUUGAACAAGAUUAAUUUUUUAUGUAGGCUUAUUUUAUUUAACUGCAUAUGAUGUAUUAUUUUCUUUGAUAAUAUUGAGAAUUUAACGGGUUGUGUGUUCUUAUAGAUACUGAUGGACGGAUUGUAUUAUUGGACUCUCCAGAAAGAACACAGUCUGUCACAGUUGAUGAAGAUGAUGAUGACGAUGAAGAGACCACAUCUGCUGUGACAGAAGUGGACAAUGCUGGUAGAUCCACUGAGGUAUGAUGCAUACCAUUAUGAUGUAUGGCCCCUUUUUGCAUUAGAGUAACAAACUGUCAUUGUCCUUUCAUAGUACAUACCUAGGGAUUUGCCCACAGAUGAGGGUCCUUCAGCCUCAGCACACAAUCUAAGCAGGGUAAGAAUUUGUGUCCAUGUGUCCAUAUUUGAAUUUUAUUGUCUGACCAAACAAUCUCAUUUAUUACAUUUUUUCACCUUAGUUGCCAGCAAAGGAGCUGUAUAAGGUCCAUCUUCAAAAACAAAUAAGAAAAAGUGACAUGGUGAUGGACCUUAUACAGCUUGAAAUGGAAGAGAAAAGGCUCCUCAUUAAAAAAAGCAGCACUUGAAAUA